Molecule: ribosomal RNA, 497 nt
Filed under: uncultured bacterium
Lineage: Bacteria
Description: partial 16S ribosomal RNA
Rfam family: Bacterial small subunit ribosomal RNA
Source: RNAcentral
GAUGAACGCUGGCGGCGUGCCUAAUACAUGCAAGUCGAGCGAACGGACGAGAAGCUUGCUUCUCUGAUGUUAGCGGCGGACGGGUGAGUAACACGUGGAUAACCUACCUAUAAGACUGGGAUAACUUCGGGAAACCGGAGCUAAUACCGGAUAAUAUUUUGAACCGCAUGGUUCAAAAGUGAAAGACGGUCUUGCUGUCACUUAUAGAUGGAUCCGCGCUGCAUUAGCUAGUUGGUAAGGUAACGGCUUACCAAGGCAACGAUGCAUAGCCGACCUGAGAGGGUGAUCGGCCACACUGGAACUGAGCCACGGCCCAGACUCCUACGGGAGGCAGCAGUAGGGAAUCUUCCGCAAUGGGCGAAAGCCUGACGGAGCAACGCCGCGUGAGUGAUGAAGUUCUUCGGAUCGUAAAACUCUGUUAUUAGGGAAGAACAUAUGUGUAAGUAACUGUGCACAUCUUGACGGUACCUAAUCAGAAAGCCACGGCUAACUACGUG